CCCUUCUUGCUAAAGCACUCUGCUGAAGUCGCGAGCUCUAAGCCCUUGGCUGGGGUCCUGUGAUGAUGCUAGCUGAAGUACACUCGAGGAGGAGAGUAACCGCACGGCACCCUCCACGGGACGGGGACGGACCCCUUUCCGAAUGUCCGGUGUGUGCUGUCCCAGGGUGGCUGUGUCACAGCU
Molecule: small nucleolar RNA, 183 nt
Organism: Anguilla rostrata (American eel)
Lineage: Eukaryota; Metazoa; Chordata; Actinopteri; Anguilliformes; Anguillidae
Product: small nucleolar RNA SNORA81
Exons: 1
Source: RefSeq, a predicted model, not a curated record